Long non-coding RNA from Pygocentrus nattereri (red-bellied piranha), 2123 nucleotides. The record is from Ensembl. Lineage: Eukaryota; Metazoa; Chordata; Actinopteri; Characiformes; Serrasalmidae.
GAACUUUGGGUGUUGUGUGCUGCCCUGCCUGAAGUGCCCUGCUGUGCUGUAGCCUUAAGCUCUCCCUCAUGCUCCUUCAUUCUCUGCCAAACAAACCAGAGCUUGCCGAUGUCCCUGAGCGAGUCAUGUCAGCCUCUUCUGUAUCCCCCUGAUGGAGGCUGAAGGAGUCCUGGCCUUCCCACUGCUGCCUUUUUCUGCCACAGUAGACCUGAGCAGCCUAAACCCCAAGCUGCUAAAGGAGGGGCAGCAUGUGGUCAUCGUUGGAGAGGUCCUGAUACUACACAUCAGUGAGAUACUGGAAGAGGACAUUUCAGCUGUUUCACGAGACUCUAUUAGGACCAGAUGGCCAGAAGCAGCACUGCCCAGUCAAGUCCUUAAACUGCCUGACUGGUUCUGGGAAUUUAUGGCCCGAGGUGUCCCACCCUACUCUGAUGCGAAUUCACCAUCAAGGCCAUAGACGGCUGCUGCCAGAGUUCUGCCCUGAUGCCUUCUACAACGUGAUGUUUGAGUGUUGGCACCCCAAACCUGACCGAAGGCCCACCUGAGCUUGUCUCCCGCAUCUCUGCUGUUUUCUCCAGCUUCAGCAGUGAGCACUACAUCCUCCUGAACACCACCUAUGUCAACAUUGACAAAAUGACACCCUACCCCUCUCUCAUCCCCUCUCAGAGCCAGCUGGACCGGGACUGCUGCACCUGAGAGAGGACGAGAGAGAUAGGGAGGAAAGCAGAAGGACAUAAAGAGCAAGACAGAGAAAGAAAGAGACUGUUUGAUUACUCUGAAUCUGCUGAGUAAGACUGACAGACACUGGACCGAGUGCCAGGGAACAUUUGCACUUCUCUAUGGAGAAAAAGCUGCCCCAGGUCACUGCUGAAGUCAGUAAAGGGAAGCUGAUUGUCUUUAUCACUGUAGAUAGACUACGGUCUAUUUGAAGCAGGCAGGACGCACGCUGACAGACGUGGACUGACUCUACUGGACUCCUGACUGAACGAGCCAUCAGCUCUUUCACAGCUCACACUGAUAGAAGAGGAAAGCACAGACCAAAACCGUAAAACCCAUCAAAUUCACUCUCACUGUGACUAGUAUUCUUACAUACAUUCUUUUAAAAAAAGGUGCCACAAAGGGUUCUCUGAGCAAUGCCAUAGAAGAACCACUUGGGGUUCCCUAAAGAACCCAAAGAUGUUCCCAUGUUUGAAUAAGAUAUGUGCGGGUAUGAAGUAUCUAUUCAAGGCUUAAAGAACCUUUGCAUAAUAUAAAAGGUUUUGUAUGUAUAUUUUAGGGUUCUUCUGAGGAAAGUCGGCCCUCAUUCAUCAAAUAGGUGUUUGGCCAAUUCUGAUUUCAGUUUUGUUAUUUAUCAAUUAUCUUAAAUUAUUAAUAAAGUGUUUAUUUUUACAUAAAUGGCUGCAUCAAUAAAGCCUGGGAUCAAUAAAGGAAUCUGAAUCUGAAUCUGAAUCUGAAUCUGAAUCUGAAUCUGAAUGUCAUCUUUGGCGUAUCUGAAUGGCCAAACUCAGUUCUGGUAGGAAUGUGUGGGCUAUUGACCAUAAUAGGAAAAAAUGAUUUAUAUGCAGUUAACUAAUCAAAACAGUCUUUGAUUUCAGUAAUAAGAACAAAAACAUAAAAUAACAAUGCUGAAUAAUUAUAAUGCCAUAUAAUCUUUUGUGUGCAUGACAAUCUGUAGUACAAAAGUGCAUGUAUUUAUUUUACAUGCAGAUUGGUAUAAACAAAUGCUGCAACUAUUCAAUGUUCUAUUAAAAAAUACACUGUAAAAAUAAAAAAUUAAAAAAUUACAAAAAACAUGCAGAAGCAUCUCAUACACUGCCAUAAUACAGUGUUUAAUUUUAUUUUGGAAAAUAGUCACACCGCAGUCACAUCAUUCUACCACCUCUACCAAGACCUUUUGUUUAUUUCACAUUUUAUUCUUUCCAGUUGUUGUAAUUUUAACACUAUAAAGUUUGGUCAGACAGGGGACUCACUGCUCCACCACAAACUACGCCUACACAUUACACAUUACAUGUGAAAUUACACUUGAUGAAUCUUUAUCUUGUCUGCACAAGUUCAUUUAUAGAUGUUUAUGUUUAUGCUCUGAUUGCUGAAAACAAUCUGGCAGGUGGGCUCUUAAUAAAUUU